AGGACGAACGCUGGCGGCGUGCUUAACACAUGCAAGUCAAGGGGACCCGCAAGGGUAACCGGCGAACGGGUGCGUAACACGUGAGCAACCUACCGAGAUCUGGGGGAUAGCCGGCCCAACGGCCGGGUAAUACCGCAUACGCUCUUUCCACGGCAUUGUGGAUUGAGGAAACCUCCGGGGGAUUUCGAGGGGCUCGCGGCCUAUCAGCUAGUUGGCGAGGUCACGGCUCACCAAGGCGACGACGGGUAGC
This 250-nucleotide ribosomal RNA is filed under the name uncultured bacterium. Its description in RNAcentral is "partial small subunit ribosomal RNA". It matches the Rfam family "Bacterial small subunit ribosomal RNA", at positions 26 to 287 of the family's 1533-position model. The record is from RNAcentral. RNAcentral also lists the same sequence under 1 other name.